GAUGAACGCUGGCGGCGUGCCUAAUACAUGCAAGUAGAACGCUGAAGGAGGAGCUUGCUCUUCUGGAUGAGUUGCGAACGGGUGAGUAACGCGUAGGUAACCUGCCUGGUAGCGGGGGAUAACUAUUGGAAACGAUAGCUAAUACCGCAUGACAACAGUUAUUGCAUGAUAACUGUUUAAAAGGGGCAACUGCUCCACUACCAGAUGGACCUGCGUUGUAUUAGCUAGUUGGUGAGGUAACGGCUCACCAAGGCGACGAUACAUAGCCGACCUGAGAGGGUGAUCGGCCACACUGGGACUGAGACACGGCCCAGACUCCUACGGGAGGCAGCAGUAGGGAAUCUUCGGCAAUGGACGGAAGUCUGAACGAGCAACGCCGCGUGAGUGAAGAAGGUUUUCGGAUCGUAAAGCUCUGUUGUAAGAGAAGAACGAGUGUGAGAGUGGAAAGUUCACACUGUGACGGUAUCUUACCAGAAAGGGACGGCUAACUACGUG
RNAcentral lists this ribosomal RNA (495 nucleotides) under uncultured bacterium. Its description in RNAcentral is "partial 16S ribosomal RNA". It matches the Rfam family "Bacterial small subunit ribosomal RNA", at positions 28 to 507 of the family's 1533-position model. The record is from RNAcentral.